RNAcentral lists this small RNA (670 nucleotides) under Pan troglodytes (chimpanzee). RNAcentral describes it as "retained intron". The record is from RNAcentral. Lineage: Eukaryota; Metazoa; Chordata; Mammalia; Primates; Hominidae.
GGCCUCUCAAGAGUGCAGGCGCUGUGGGGCGUCAGCUGGACAAAAGCUGACCCGACUUCAUUUAUCUGCCUCGACCCCGACCCCGGCUGGUAGACAGCACUCCUGAUGCACGGGACGAGGGAGCAGCACGAGCAAAGGCCCUGAAACAGGAGGGAGAGCGGGCCAUCCAUCAAUGCUGGUGAGCUGAGCUUAGCUGAGAAGCCAGCCUGGCACGGAGCGCUGCCCCUCCUGCUGGUCCCAGAUCCGUUCUGUCCGGAGGAGAAUUUCUUAUUCCCAGGAGAUGCCUGGCCUCGUUAGGAGCCUCCUCACCCGCCCGCCCGCACCAACCCUCUGACUCCCUCCACCUCACCGCCUGGGGACAACAGGAAGAGAGCAGGACAGCAGCAGAAGGGAGUGCUGCUUAUGUGGCUCUUCUCAGAAUCAGGAGGCUCCCAGGCCAGGAAUGUGAAACCAUUUUGCAGAUGAAGAAGAUGAAGCCCGAGAGGUUAUGAAACAGACCCAAGUGGGCUCGCUCUUCAGUCUCGGCAUCAGGAAUCCGGAACCUGGGCCCGUGUCCGGAACUGCUGUGCCCAGGCAGCCUGCCUGGAAAUCAGGUAGCGUGGGGGGACCCCAAAAUCCCCCUGUGACAGACCACGAAUCUGCCGUGUUUGUGCACCUCUGUUUUGCUUCC